GAUUUCUGGUUUGAUGUACCUGUCCCGCCUCGGUAACGGGGUCGAGUGACGGAGUAUGUCUGCCAUCCUUCUAGAGAAUAUAAACUAUCCUUUACUGGACCGGUUUAUAUCAUCUAGAUCUUUUACUUUGAAAAAAUUAGAGUGUUUAAAGCAGGCUUGCGCUAUGAAUACAUUAGCAUGGAAUAAUAAUUUAGGACUUUGUUUCUAUUUUGUUGGUUUCUAGAGGCGAAGUAAUGAUUGAUAGGGAUAGUUGGGGGUGCUAGUAUUCAGCGGCCAGAGGUGAAAUUCUUGGAUUCGCUGAAGACUAACUUAUGCGAAAGCAUU
This 324-nucleotide ribosomal RNA is filed under the name Allapsidae sp. Its description in RNAcentral is "SSU rRNA". It matches the Rfam family "Eukaryotic small subunit ribosomal RNA", at positions 634 to 955 of the family's 1831-position model. The record is from RNAcentral. Lineage: Eukaryota; Cercozoa; Glissomonadida; Viridiraptoridae.